AUACGUAGGGUGCGAGCGUUGUCCGGAAUUACUGGGCGUAAAGAGCUCGUAGGUGGUUUGUCGCGUCGUCUGUGAAAUUCCGGGGCUUAACUCCGGGCGUGCAGGCGAUACGGGCAUAACUUGAGUACUGUAGGGGAGACUGGAAUUCCUGGUGUAGCGGUGAAAUGCGCAGAAAUCAGGAGUAACACCGGUGGCGAAGGCGGGUCUCGGGGAAGUAACUGACGCUGAGGAGCGAAAGCAUGGGUAGCGAACAGGAUUAUAUACCCUGGUAGUCCAUGCCGUAAACGGUGGGCGCUAGGUGUAGGGGUCUUCCACGACUUCUGUGCCGUAGCUAACGCAUUAAGCGCCCCGCCUGGGGAGUACGGCCGCAAGGCUAAAACUCAAAGGAAUUGACGGGG
This 398-nucleotide ribosomal RNA is filed under the name uncultured bacterium. RNAcentral describes it as "partial 16S ribosomal RNA". It matches the Rfam family "Bacterial small subunit ribosomal RNA", at positions 523 to 918 of the family's 1533-position model. The record is from RNAcentral.